This 463-nucleotide ribosomal RNA is filed under the name uncultured bacterium. Its description in RNAcentral is "partial 16S ribosomal RNA". It matches the Rfam family "Bacterial small subunit ribosomal RNA", at positions 29 to 507 of the family's 1533-position model. The record is from RNAcentral.
AGUGAACGCUGGCGGCGUGCCUAAUACAUGCAAGUCGAACGAUGAAGUCCUAGCUUGCUCGGAUGGAUUAGUGGCGCACGGGUGAGUAAUAUAUAGUUAAUCUGCCCUACACAGAGGAACAACAGUUGGAAACGGCUGCUAAUACCUCAUACUCCUAUUUGACAUAAGUUAAAUAGGGAAAGUCUUUUCGGUGUAGGAUGAGACUAUAUCGUAUCAGCUAGUUGGUAAGGUAAUGGCUUACCAAGGCUAUGACGCGUAACUGGUCUGAGAGGAUGAUCAGUCACAUUGGAACUGAGACACGGUCCAAACUCCUACGGGAGGCAGCAGUAAGGAAUAUUGCGCAAUGGGGGAAACCCUGACGCAGCAACGCCGCGUGGAGGAUGACACUUUUCGGAGCGUAAACUCCUUUUAUCAGGAAAGAAUAAUGACGGUACCUGAUGAAUAAGCACCGGCUAACUCCGUG